Small nucleolar RNA from Centropristis striata (black sea bass), 132 nucleotides. RefSeq annotates it as small nucleolar RNA SNORA47. Lineage: Eukaryota; Metazoa; Chordata; Actinopteri; Perciformes; Serranidae. The record is from RefSeq and is a predicted model, not a curated record. The transcript has a single exon.
UGGAGGACUGAGAAGGUUAAGCAGCUUGUGCUGUUAUAACUGGUUAUGACCUCCAAGAGUAACAUACAAACCACUCAACUGAGCGACUCUGUCAUACACAGAGCUGAUGUGUAGUGUGUUUGUGAACAAAAC